GCUUCUCAUUGCGCAUGCGCAACACUGUCAUCUACCCAGCUGACACCUUGCUAAGUUAGCCACUGAGCUAGCAGCACACCGCCGCUCCCUUUUCACCAGAUAGUCUAAUUUUUUACCCUUAAUUUCCCACUUCUACAUAUCCAAAACAGCCGGUAGGCAGUUUACGAACAUGGUUUAUGGCGUUAAAUCGGGUAUGGCGCUUGCCUUUAAACGGCUUGACGGCUAAUUAGCAUUUAGACUAGCCCGAGCUCGCUAGGGAACUUCCAGGUUUUGCGAGGCACCGCAGCUGCUUUUCCAGCCAUGGGAAUACUUUUCACUAAGUUAUGGAGACUGUUUAACCAUCAAGAGCACAAAGUCAUCAUUGUCGGCUUGGACAACGCGGGCAAGACCACCAUUCUUUACCAGUUCUCCAUGAAUGAGGUGGUGCACACGUCGCCCACCAUCGGCAGCAACGUGGAGGAGAUUGUCGUUAACAACACGCACUUCCUCAUGUGGGACAUCGGCGGCCAGGAGUCACUGAGGUCCUCGUGGAACACUUACUACACUAACACAGAGUUUGUGAUCGUGGUGGUUGACAGCACCGACCGGGAACGAAUUUCAGUGACCAAAGAGGAGCUGUAUCGGAUGCUGGCGCAUGAAGACCUGAGGAAGGCGGGGCUCCUGGUCUUCGCCAACAAGCAGGACGUGAAGGGCUGCAUGUCGGUGGCCGACAUCUCGCACAGCCUGCAGCUCACUGCCAUCAAAGACCACCAAUGGCAUAUCCAAGCCUGCUGUGCCCUCACCGGAGAGGGCUUGUGUCAGGGUCUCGAGUGGAUGAUGUCACGGUUGCGUGUCAGAUGAUGGCCCCUCAAACUUCAUGUAUUCACUCCAGGACUCGGAUCAUCAUCAUGAGGAGGACGAGGAGAAGGAGGCUUGACUUGAGUCUUUUUCCCCACCAAACUUUUUUGAGGACCUUCUUAUGUCUUGUGUGAUAAUUUAUUGGACUGAGGACUUUAUUUAAAGUGCACGCUUUUUUUCUGUCAACAAGAUGAAGGUCCUCUCGUGCAGCCCCCACUGCCUCGGAACAGUAUUACCGGACCACGGACCAUGCGUCCGGUCCAACAUUGUUUUAACAUGGUGCCUGUAGCAACAUGGACGCUCGGCGUGAUGAUGACGUGGAGGGGAUUGGUGUGGGACUGGUGGAGUGUGUCUACUGAGGGUUUUCCUGAACAACGAGGUCAUCAUAACGCACAUUUGAUGUAUUUUCACGUCUGCCAUGGAUGUGCGUACCACUAGGAGGAAUCGGACCAGAAUGGGUCUAGAGCCGCCAUCCCCGAAAAGACGGAAGCUGACAUCUUUUGAAAAAAGCCCACUGAACUGGUUUCACUAAGCAACAUGAAAUUUGUUAGACCUGUCUAUCUUGAGUAGACCCACAAAAAAGUUUCAAGCAGUUAUGCCUGAAAAUACAAAAAUUCUGAUGAACUCCAGUUUUUUUUUUUGUUUUUGUUUUAAAUCUGCCAUUUUCAGGACACUUUGGCCAUUUCUAGAGGUUACCUUACAAUACAUACCAAAAUCUUUUUUUUUUUUUUUACCAAUUGCUUCCAAAUUUUGAAUAUAUACACUAGAUAAAUUAGUGACACUACACCAUAAAACAUUGGAAUUUUCAUCUUUGCAUGUGAACCGAGCAGCGAAGUUCAAAGACUUAACGUUUACCUCAUCUCCACAAGGUCAGGGCCAGAGAGCCAAAUGCUGCCCCUACAGGCAGACCGUUGCAACAACACUCCUCCUGACUAGAAUGUUCCUUUUGGUCCAUGAGUCAGCUUAAAGGUCACUUUACAGGUGCCAGCACCCACAGGCUGCCCAAGUCUAUCACAAUUCGUUUUCCGCCCCAGGCGAGACGUCAGCCUCUCCUCCAGCAGGAUGAGAAUGUUGCUAUGGAAAUGUACCCGAUCGUAGCCCAAACAGCAGUGACCCAUCCCUCCUGUCAUCGCCCAUUUUAUCUGCUUCAUUCUAUGCGACUGACAUCACCUGCAAAAAAAUAAUAGUAAUAAUAAAUAACAUG
Syngnathoides biaculeatus (alligator pipefish) is the source of this 2041-nucleotide RNA transcript. It is a transcript of the gene named ADP-ribosylation factor-like 5A, with no coding region annotated. The transcript is spliced from 8 exons. Lineage: Eukaryota; Metazoa; Chordata; Actinopteri; Syngnathiformes; Syngnathidae. The record is from RefSeq and is a predicted model, not a curated record.